RNAcentral lists this unclassified non-coding RNA (202 nucleotides) under Hevea brasiliensis (rubber tree). The record is from RNAcentral. Lineage: Eukaryota; Viridiplantae; Streptophyta; Magnoliopsida; Malpighiales; Euphorbiaceae.
CCUAUCUCGCGAUGGCCGGACCCAAAGCCGCCGCCUGUCCUUGCGCAACAAACUGUCCCAGAACUUGAGAGGGAUGCGUUUUUCUGAUCAAUCCAGCAGAACACAUCAGGUCCAUAGAUGCCGCGAGAGUUUUGCAGCCGCGUUACGCAGCGGAAUGGGCGAGAGAGAUAUGGCCGCCAUCGCGCUUCUUUAUCCUCUUGGC